Acanthosepion pharaonis is the source of this 114-nucleotide non-coding RNA. The record is from the annotation of a GenBank genome assembly. NCBI's taxonomy places the organism in Eukaryota, Metazoa, Mollusca, Cephalopoda, Sepiida, Sepiidae.
GUCGGCCAUAUCAAGUUGAAACACUUGUUCACGUACGAUCAACGAAGUUAAGCAACGCCAAGCUUGGUCAGUAACAUAGAUGGGUGACCUCUCGAGAAUUCCAGGUAUUGCAAG